AUGGUAUUGAGAGUUGAUGUUGCACACGUAAUCCAUAUGGUUUAUCAAUGGCCUGUUUUAAAAAGUUAUCCUUUUAAGGAAAGGCAUUUGAUUACAUAGGAUCAAGUCGUAUGAUCUACAAUAUGAAGCAGAACAAUUUUAACGCUCUCGGUGGGAUUAAUCUGAAGUUGGAUGAUAUCAAGAGUGUGAUCGAGUUCGGCCAACUGGGCAAAGGGAAAAUAGUUCUCCAUAGCAGCAGUAAAGAUAAUACCACAGAUCGUUUGAGUAAAGUGUUGAAUGCAUCGAUUCUAGAUGAUAGCGUACCACCUACAUCUGUGCAAAGUUUUCUGGAGGCGAGGCCCAGUUUAACGACUGUUGUUAUAACCAAUCAUGGAAAAAAAUUUUUAAAUCGAUACUACAACAGUAUCUUGGACGACGGGGAAAAUCUUGGUUUUAAUAGUGACGGGCGAGUCAGCGCCGCAGUCUGCCGAUCUGCCGAUAUCGCUGGAAGAUCUCGUCGCAGAAAUGUUAUAUUGCUACAUCCAAAGUGCUAAAUGCACUCGGUUUCAUGCAGCCUCGACAUCCGGUGCUAAAUUGAUCAAUCAGAUUUUGCCACUGUACGUUGGUGUGCACCGAGCGCCCAAUGCCGUGACGACAUUAACUGGACAGCUUCUAGCCUUGCUGACUGGCAAGAAACUCAGCAACAUGAAUGAAACGACUUGUCACAAAAACCGCCUCACAUGGAUGGGUGGAUACAAUUUUACAGAAAUAUGCAUAAACUCAACCGUCAAUUAUAGUACAGCUGAUAUAAUAUGAAGUCUGAUGUGUACUCUAUGUAGACAGAGUCCAUAUGGCAAACGUUGAGCGUUAGAAUGUUUCUUAAACCAUCAGCAGCGACAGAACGUUUCAGCAUGAUCUUGGGUAGUCUGGUUGCCGGCACCUUAAUCAUAUUGGUAUGGUUUAUUAAUAACCGAGCUGAUGUGUUAUUUAAUUCGAGGAGAACCGUCGAUUGCUAGGAACAUGCCGCGGACCACAUAUCAAUGACCAGGUUGGAUCAUCAUCACCAAGAUCAGGAUGUUCCAAUAACUAGCCUUUAACUGUAUGUGUGGUGCGCCCUCCGACAAUCUAUAAUUUAAUUCAAAA
This 1122-nucleotide unclassified non-coding RNA is filed under the name Ooceraea biroi (clonal raider ant). RNAcentral's name for it is "nicastrin-like, transcript variant X5". The record is from RNAcentral. Lineage: Eukaryota; Metazoa; Arthropoda; Insecta; Hymenoptera; Formicidae.